GAUGAACGCUAGCGGCAGGCCUAAUACAUGCAAGACGAACGGUAAGUUGAGUAGCAAUACUUAGCCAAGAGUGUCGUACGGGUGCGUAACACGUAUGCAACCUACCCUAUACAGGAGGAUAGCCUAGGGAAACCUGGAUUAACCCUUCAUAGUAUUAUUGGAUGGCAUCAUUUGAUAAUUAAAACUGAGGUGGUAUAGGAUGGGCAUGCGUCUGAUUAGUUAGUUGGCGGGGUAAUGGCCCACCAAGACGAUGAUCAGUAGGGGUUCUGAGAGGAAGAUCCCCCACACUGGCACUGAGAUACGGGCCAGACUCCUACGGGAGCAGCAGUAGGGAAUAUUGGUCAAUGGAUGCAAGUCUGAACCAGCCAUGCCGCGUGCAGGAAGAAGGCCCUUUCUGGGGUUGUAAAACUGCUUUUGCCAGGGGAUAAAAUUUCCAUGCGUGGAAAACUGAAGGUACCUGGUGAAUAAGCCACGGCUAACUACGUGCCAGCAGCCGCGGUAAU
Molecule: ribosomal RNA, 503 nt
Filed under: uncultured bacterium
Lineage: Bacteria
Description: bacterial SSU rRNA
Rfam family: Bacterial small subunit ribosomal RNA
Source: RNAcentral